CGGGAUGUGGCGCAGUCUGGCCAGCGCGGGCGUCUGGGAGGCGCCAGGUCACAGGUUCGAAUCCCGCCGUCCCGA
Molecule: transfer RNA, 75 nt
Filed under: Deltaproteobacteria bacterium
Lineage: Bacteria; Pseudomonadati; Myxococcota; Myxococcia
Description: tRNA-Pro
Rfam family: tRNA
About the family: Transfer RNA (tRNA) molecules are approximately 80 nucleotides in length. Their secondary structure includes four short double-helical elements and three loops (D, anti-codon, and T loops). Further hydrogen bonds mediate the characteristic L-shaped molecular structure. tRNAs have two regions of fundamental functional importance: the anti-codon, which is responsible for specific mRNA codon recognition, and the 3' end, to which the tRNAs corresponding amino acid is attached (by aminoacyl-tRNA synthetases). tRNAs cope with the degeneracy of the genetic code in two manners: having more than one tRNA (with a specific anti-codon) for a particular amino acid; and 'wobble' base-pairing, i.e. permitting non-standard base-pairing at the 3rd anti-codon position.
Source: RNAcentral